AAGUCGUAACAAGGUUUCCGUAGGUGAACCUGCGGAAGGAUCAUUACAGAGUUCAUGCCCGAAAGGGUAGACCUCCCACCCUUGUGUAUUAUUACUUUGUUGCUUUGGCGAGCUGCCUCGGGCCUUGCAUGCUCGCCAGAGAAAACCAAAACUCUUUUAUUAAUGUCGCCUGAGUACUAUAUAAUAGUUAAAA
This 193-nucleotide unclassified non-coding RNA is filed under the name plant metagenome. RNAcentral's name for it is "partial contains small subunit ribosomal RNA and internal transcribed spacer 1". The stretch from base 1 to 46 matches the Rfam family "Eukaryotic small subunit ribosomal RNA", at positions 1786 to 1831 of the family's 1831-position model. The record is from RNAcentral.